CAGAGGUCCCGAGCGUUGUUCGGAUUUAUUGGGCGUAAGGGGUGCGUAGGCGGCGGAGUAAGUUGGGUGUGAAAUCCCGGGGCUCAACCUCGGAAUUGCAUUCAAUACUGCUUCGCUCGAGUACUGGAGAGGAGGCUGGAAUUUACGGUGUAGCAGUGAAAUGCGUAGAUAUCGUAAGGAAGGCCGGUGGCGAAAGCGAGCCUCUGGACAGUUACUGACGCUGAUGCACGAAGGCCAGGGGAGCAAACGGGAUUAGAUACCCCGGUAGUCCUGGCAGUAAACGGUGCGCGUUUGGUGUGGGGGGAUUCGACAAUCUCCGCGCCGGAGCUAACGCGUUAAACGCGCCGCCUGGGAAAUACGGUCGCAAGAUUA
Molecule: ribosomal RNA, 372 nt
Filed under: uncultured organism
Description: bacterial SSU rRNA
Rfam family: Bacterial small subunit ribosomal RNA
Source: RNAcentral